GGGUUGUGAGGUUAAGCGACUAAGCGUACACGGUGGAUGCCCUGGCAGUCAGAGGCGAUGAAGGACGUGCUAAUCUGCGAAAAGCGUCGGUAAGGUGAUAUGAACCGUUAUAGCCGGCGAUGUCCGAAUGGGGAAACCCAGUGUGAUUCGUCACACU
This 157-nucleotide ribosomal RNA is filed under the name Klebsiella pneumoniae. RNAcentral's name for it is "partial 23S ribosomal RNA". It matches the Rfam family "Bacterial large subunit ribosomal RNA", at positions 1 to 149 of the family's 2925-position model. The record is from RNAcentral. Lineage: Bacteria; Pseudomonadati; Pseudomonadota; Gammaproteobacteria; Enterobacterales; Enterobacteriaceae.